RNAcentral lists this long non-coding RNA (242 nucleotides) under Trifolium pratense (red clover). Its description in RNAcentral is "long non-coding RNA (TPRA_LNC010952)". The record is from RNAcentral. Lineage: Eukaryota; Viridiplantae; Streptophyta; Magnoliopsida; Fabales; Fabaceae.
GGUUUUAUCGAUAUUUUCCUUUUCCUUUGUGAAUAAAUAAAGUUCGGUGGCGACUUUACUGUCUAAGCGAGUGUUUUAUGCUCGCGCAUUUUUCCAGCCGCUUCAGGUUCUGUGUUUCGACUAAUCAUACUGUAACUAAAUAUAAGGACACAAAAGUUCCCCAUCGAAUAGCAUACCGCAGCCAACCAUUGUUACUAAACAACAUCGGUAACUGCGAUAAGACUAGUAGACGGAGGACUAUG